Zopfia rhizophila CBS 207.26 is the source of this 146-nucleotide non-coding RNA. NCBI's taxonomy places the organism in Eukaryota, Fungi, Ascomycota, Dothideomycetes, Zopfiaceae. The record is from the annotation of a GenBank genome assembly.
GGUGAGAUGGCCGAGUUGGUAUGUUAAAAGAAUCACCAGAAUGACAAAAAAAUUUAACGACAAUAGGUUAUGGCGCCAGGUUAAGGUUACCUUAAUAUUAAUUCCUGGUCACGAAAGUGGCGUGGGUUCGAGUCCCACUCUCAUCA